RNAcentral lists this transfer RNA (66 nucleotides) under Xenagama taylori. Its description in RNAcentral is "tRNA-Asp". The record is from RNAcentral. Lineage: Eukaryota; Metazoa; Chordata; Lepidosauria; Squamata; Agamidae.
UGGGCUUUAGUAUAAUAAUUACAUAACCCUGUCAGAGUUAAAAUACAGACCCACCUGUAAGCCCUA